AUUUAAUAUAUUAUUUUUAAAUUUUGUUUAAUUAUUAUUUUAAUAAAAGUAAUUUUAUUGAUUUUUGUCUUAGUAUGUUUUAUAGAAUAGAUUUUUUUAAUUAUAGUUUAUUAGUAAUGUAAAUGUUUUAUGAAAUAUUAAUAAAAGUUUGAAAAAGUAAUUUUUAUUUAUUGUACCUUUUGUAUCAGGGUUUAUCAAAAUUUUAUUAUUUAUUUAAUAUUCUCAAUUUAGGUUGAUUUAUAAACCAUUUAAAGUUAAUGUUUUAUAAUUAUUAUAAAAUGGUUUAUUGAAAUGAAAUGUUAGUCGUUUCCUAAGGUAUUUAGUUUUUUAAGAAAAAAUUUAAUUUUUUGAAGUUAAUGUUUUAUUUAAUUUUUUAAUUGUUAAUAUUAACUUAUUAAUUCUUUAAGGGAUAAGCUUUGAAGAUAAAAUAUUCUAUAAUUUAUUAAUUAAUAAUAUAAUAAUAAGCUUUAAAUCAGCUAUUUUUAGAUUACGUUUUAGUUCAUUGUUAUAAUUUUUGAUUUUAUAAUUAUUUUAGAUUUUUUAUUAAGAUAAUAAAUUUAAUUUAUAAAUUUAUGAAAUAAUGAUGGAAUUAGUAUAUUAUAUUUGUUUAUAACAUUUUAUUUAUAUAAUUUAUUAUAAGGAAUUAGGCAAAAUUUGAUUUCCGCCUGUUUAUCAAAAACAUGUCCUCUUGAUUAUAUUUUGAGGUCUGUCCUGCUCACUGAUAUAAUUUAAGAGCCGCGGUAUUUUGACCGUGCAAAGGUAGCAUAAUCAUUAGUCUUUUAAUUAAGGGCUAGAAUGAAUGGUUUGACGAGAAAUCAACUGUCUCUUAAUAAUUAUUAUAAUUUAACUUUUAAGUCAAAAGGCUUAAAUUUUUCUUUAGGACGAGAAGACCCUAUAGAGCUUAACAUUAAUGAUUGUAUGUAUAUUUUGGAUGAUCUUUUUAUAUUUUAUUAUAAUGUUUUGUUGGGGUGACAUGAAGAAUUAAUAAACUCUUCAUUUUAAAAUCAUUAAUUUAUGUAUAUUUUGAUCCAUAAUUUAUGAUCAAAAGAUUAAGUUACCUUAGGGAUAACAGCGUAAUUGUUUUUUAGAGCUCUUAUCAACAAAACAGAUUGCGACCUCGAUGUUGGAUUAAGAAAAAUUUUGGGUGCAGUAGCUCAUUAAUUAGGUCUGUUCGACCUUUAAAUUCUUACAUGAUCUGAGUUCAGACCGGCGUGAGCCAGGUCGGUUUCUAUCCUAAGAUUAUAAAUUUAUAUUAGUACGAGAGGACCAUAUAAAUAAAAUAAUUUUUAAUAUUGUGAUUUAAAUUAAUUUAU
This 1313-nucleotide ribosomal RNA is filed under the name Phlaeoba antennata. Its description in RNAcentral is "16S ribosomal RNA". The stretch from base 875 to 1238 matches the Rfam family "Archaeal large subunit ribosomal RNA", at positions 2150 to 2716 of the family's 2987-position model. Lineage: Eukaryota; Metazoa; Arthropoda; Insecta; Orthoptera; Acrididae. The record is from RNAcentral.